Molecule: ribosomal RNA, 502 nt
Filed under: uncultured bacterium
Lineage: Bacteria
Description: partial 16S ribosomal RNA
Rfam family: Bacterial small subunit ribosomal RNA
Source: RNAcentral
GACGAACGCUGGCGGCGUGCCUAAUACAUGCAAGUCGAACGAACCGCGACUAGGUGCUUGCACUUGGUCAAGGUGAGUGGCGAACGGGUGAGUAACACGUGGGUAACCUACCUCAUAGUGGGGGAUAACAGUCGGAAACGACUGCUAAUACCGCAUAGGACAUAGGAUCACAUGAUCCAGUGAGGAAAGGUGGCGCAAGCUAUCGCUACGAGAUGGACCCGCGGUGCAUUAGCUAGUUGGUAGGGUAAAGGCCUACCAAGGCGAUGAUGCAUAGCCGACCUGAGAGGGCGAUCGGCCACAUUGGGACUGAGACACGGCCCAAACUCCUACGGGAGGCAGCAGUAGGGAAUCUUCCGCAAUGGACGCAAGUCUGACGGAGCAACGCCGCGUGAGUGAAGAAGGUCUUCGGAUCGUAAAGCUCUGUUGUUAGAGAAGAACAGCGCAUAGAGUAACUGUUAUGCGUGUGACAGUAUCUAACCAGAAAGCCACGGCUAACUACGUG